Molecule: transfer RNA, 53 nt
Filed under: Nothopoda sp.
Lineage: Eukaryota; Metazoa; Arthropoda; Arachnida; Trombidiformes; Eriophyidae
Description: tRNA-Phe
Source: RNAcentral
ACUUUAUUAGUUUAUUAGAACGUAAUUUUGAAGAAAUUAAAGAAUUUAGAGUA